GACGAAGGGGGCUAGCGUUGCUCGGAAUUACUGGGCGUAAAGCGCGUGUAGGCGGCUGUUCAAGUUGGGCGUGAAAGCCUUGGGCUUAACCCAAGAAAUGCGCUCAAUACUGGAUAGCUAGAGGACCGGAGAGGAUAGUGGAAUUCCCAGUGUAGUGGUGAAAUUCGUAGAUAUUGGGAAGAACACCGGUGGCGAAGGCGGCUAUCUGGACUGUGAUUGACGCUGAGGCGCGAAAGCGUGGGGAGCAAACAGG
Molecule: ribosomal RNA, 253 nt
Filed under: uncultured bacterium
Lineage: Bacteria
Description: partial 16S ribosomal RNA
Rfam family: Bacterial small subunit ribosomal RNA
Source: RNAcentral